This 428-nucleotide ribosomal RNA is filed under the name Pseudoalteromonas sp. 'Disko Bay 70'. Its description in RNAcentral is "bacterial SSU rRNA". It matches the Rfam family "Bacterial small subunit ribosomal RNA", at positions 21 to 451 of the family's 1533-position model. The record is from RNAcentral. Lineage: Bacteria; Pseudomonadati; Pseudomonadota; Gammaproteobacteria; Alteromonadales; Pseudoalteromonadaceae.
GGCUCAGAUUGAACGCUGGCGGCAGGCCUAACACAUGCAAGUCGAGCGGUAACAGAGAGUAGCUUGCUACUUUGCUGACGAGCGGCGGACGGGUGAGUAAUGCUUGGGAACAUGCCUUGAGGUGGGGGACAACAGUUGGAAACGACUGCUAAUACCGCAUAAUGUCUACGGACCAAAGGGGGCUUCGGCUCUCGCCUUUAGAUUGGCCCAAGUGGGAUUAGCUAGUUGGUGAGGUAAUGGCUCACCAAGGCGACGAUCCCUAGCUGGUUUGAGAGGAUGAUCAGCCACACUGGGACUGAGACACGGCCCAGACUCCUACGGGAGGCAGCAGUGGGGAAUAUUGCACAAUGGGCGCAAGCCUGAUGCAGCCAUGCCGCGUGUGUGAAGAAGGCCUUCGGGUUGUAAAGCACUUUCAGUCAGGAGGAAAG